Molecule: ribosomal RNA, 468 nt
Filed under: uncultured bacterium
Lineage: Bacteria
Description: partial 16S ribosomal RNA
Rfam family: Bacterial small subunit ribosomal RNA
Source: RNAcentral
GACGAACGCUGGCGGCGUGCUUAACACAUGCAAGUCGAACGGAAAGGCCCUGCUUUUGUGGGGUGCUCGAGUGGCGAACGGGUGAGUAACACGUGAGUAACCUGCCCUUGACUUUGGGAUAACUUCAGGAAACUGGGGCUAAUACCGGAUAGGAGCUCCUGCUGCAGGGUGGGGGUUGGAAAGUUUCGGCGGUUGGGGAUGGACUCGCGGCUUAUCAGCUUGUUGGUGGGGUAGUGGCUUACCAAGGCUUUGACGGGUAGCCGGCCUGAGAGGGUGACCGGCCACAUUGGGACUGAGAUACGGCCCAGCCUCCUACGGGAGGCAGCAGUGGGGAAUAUUGCACAAUGGGCGGAGGCCUGAUGCAGCAACGCCGCGGGGGGGAUGACGGCCUUCGGGUUGUAAACCGCUUUCGCCUGUGACGAAGCGUGAGUGACGGUAAUGGGUAAAGAAGCACCGGCUAACUACGUG